Alligator mississippiensis (American alligator) is the source of this 3596-nucleotide long non-coding RNA. RefSeq lists it as uncharacterized. The record is from RefSeq and is a predicted model, not a curated record. The transcript has 4 exons. NCBI's taxonomy places the organism in Eukaryota, Metazoa, Chordata, Crocodylia, Alligatoridae.
ACAGGGCAGUUUGGCUGCAGGAGGCCAGGCAGCAACAUUGCCUGGCUGAAGGGCUGCUGUGAACGACCCGGAGUUAAAAAUCAUGUCCAUGGAUGGAGCUAGGAUUUUCUAAAAGCAGGUGCAGGAGCAGCACCCAGAUCCCAGCUUCCUUCUCUUCCUGCACCCCCUGCCCCCGCCAAUGGGAUGCACAGACCUCACUGCAGGAACAGCAGCUCAGGACAUUUUUAAAGCCCCCAAUCAGGUAUAAGGGAUGCCCCGCUGUUUCCUGUGUGGCUGUAUUGUCCUCCAUUGCUACAGUAUCUUCUGCUGCAUGUAGUACAUGCCAUCAAACAUCAGCUAGCAAAAGUGACACUGAAAUGGUGGCAUGCGAGCCCCCUGCAACAAUCAUGAGCCUCUUGCUGUAUUGCUGAGAGAUUGAGAAGACAUCAACACUGACUAUAGCUAUACUAGAAAAGAACUGAAAAGUGUGUAGUCACUGAAGAGAACAUUUGCAGCAGGAAAAGCUCUUUUCAGCCAGGGAGACAGUGAAAGCAAAACUGUCUUUAAAGAAAGUACAUGGAUUUUAAUUGUUUACAAUUAAAUAUUUAAGGACAAUUGCAUUCCUUAAUCUUGACAGUUUGAACACAGUACUUACAUAUGCUCGUUUGGGACUGUGAGUUCUCUCCUGUAUCUUGCUCUCUAGACCAAUAAUUUGCAUUGGCAAGCUCUGUUAGUGAAUUUCCCCAGAUCAAAACUUCUGUUCUGAAAUGUAGGUAGUGAGACCUUGACUUUGAAUGAUAGGGAAAUCAAGUGGCUUGGAAAUGUGCCAGCCUAUAAGGAAGUGCCUGAUUGUACUUGCAAAUAGAUUCUUUAUUCAUCAUCUCAGCAGUUGUAUGCAGCACAGAUGAAAUCCCUUCUGAUUUUUCUAUUCCUUUUAGAGAAGGGGUGGAUGACCUGUCUGAAAAAACAUCCCCUUGAAAUGAUUUAUGUUUGGUAAUGCUGCUGCCUCUGUACACAGUGGUAGCCCACUCACACAGUGAGUCACCGUGUCAGUUCUAAGAUUUAAGAAGAAUAUCUACAAAAGCAAGCUUUAAUCUGAGAAACAAUUUAAAUAAAAAUCCCAAGUGAACACCCUUAUUAUAAAAGCAGACCUUAGUGUUGGCUUCUGUAUAGACUAAAUGCUACAUAUGAAGUUUAAUUUGAAAAACAAAAUGACCCACAUUUACUUCCACAUUUCUUAAAGGAAUUUUCUAAAAAUAAACUUCAAGUUUCACUUGCUAAGGACAGAUAUGAUGAUGAAUUUUUUAGCAGUUGCCUAUUAGUUUUCUGACUGAACAAUACAGAGGAUAACAUCUUAAAGACAUUUAAAAGACCCUAAGCUUGUUGUUAACCAUGUCCCUGUCAUUCAUUUUAAAUAACGACCAGCCUUCUGAAUUUGACAGUACUUUAUUUGCUUCUUUGGGGAAUUUAUCUUUUUUUUUUGGUCUGUCUCAGUCUUCACAAAUUAAAAUUACUAUCUCCUCUUCUGUCAUCUAUAGCUGUGUUUUGAAGUCUAUUCAUUGCAAUGAAUCAGAGAAAAAUGGAGUGGUUUAUGUGUGUAGGGGUAGGCUCAGCAUUUAACUCAUUAGCUAUUUUUAAUCUUCAUUUGCUUGCUUGCUGUACCAAAGUCUAAGAGGCAGACAAAAACAUUUUUAAAAUGUGGGUUAAAGCCCAAGAUGUAAGCAUGAGUCUCAAGUUAGAUUCCUAAAGAUAUGGUUUCAGGCGAGAUAAAGGUAAAAGGCACCUAUUCACCCCACUAAUGAGAUCAAGUGUGCUGGAUGGUCCAAGGAUGGAGAGCUUUAGCACACUGGGAGAUGGGUUCUCCUUUCUGCUCAGUCCCUUAGAUAGACAAUUACAGAAUCUUUUGCUACUGCUGUCAGCUGAUCUGGAUAGAAACAAAAAUGCUCCAUUUCACUCACUAGUUCUCCUGGUUGGCAGCCCUUAUAUAUCCCCUCUCAGCAAAGGGAUUGGCAUAGGGGAAUCAGUCCCAUCCUACUCCACUAGAUCCUGGGCCAGGGCUAUGAUCUUUUGCAAUCAGCAGACCACCAUCCUUCCACAACAUGCAGUUCUGUGUAGCAUUUCCUAACUCUGUCCUUUAGCAGUCCUCUAGCAGUUUAGUAUGUCACCUCUAUUGGGGUACCAUCUUCCUCCUCCUUCCAGAGCUUAUGGACUUCCAGUGACCCUGCUGUCUGAGAGAACUCACAGUGGGAGCUCUCCAGCUGUGGCUGAUAUCUGGGAGCUCCUGAUGCUUCCCAGACUCAACUGCACCCUGUUCCCUGGCUCAAACUUCAUAGAUGCAGGUGUAGAGCUGGAUGUGGUCAGGAAUCUAUGCCUUCAAAAGCCACCACUUGAGGCUUCAUUAGUAUUCAGUAUUCUCUUCCUGUGUGUUCCUCAUCAUAGGAAUGGAAGGGAGUAUGUGGCGCAGUAGAUGUGGAAUGGCACUGCUCAUGUUCCAGGAUUUGGGAAUAGUAUGGGUUUUAUAUACGUGUCUCUCUCUCUCUCUCUUAUUUUGCAGGACUUGCCUGUACCCAUUCAGAUUGUUUGCAUAGGGUGAUUUAUUUUUUUUCAGCCAGCAGUCAAAUCAUCCUUCAGAGUUAUGCACACAUCCACCACUGGAGUCAACCAGAGAUCAUUUGUCAAAAUCAAAAUGACUCUGAGAUGUAAAGUUAUUCCACUACAAGCAAUUUUAAAUUGGUUUGGGCCCAGGCCAAAACUCCAGAUCCAGUUUCAGAGCUCUCACAUAUCUCUGCCAUGGUCUGUAUGAGGACACCUGUCUGAUAUCUCCCAGAUAAAAAUUUUAAAACUUUAAAGAGAUUGGGAUCUGGAAAUUUUUACAAAUCAUUAUAAAGCUGCAGGGCAUAAGCCUCCUCUCAUAAAAGAAGAACUCAUUCCAUCAACUGUAUUAGAGAUGUAGCAACAUGAGCAAAAGGAGAAUUUGGCUCAUGAAGUUUAGAUCCUCCUCUGAUAUGGAGCUGCAGUUGGGAUGUUGGAAAAUGACUGAAUCCGCCGGCAAUAUGGAAUGAAGAUUUCUAUCUCUCUUUGUCCCUUUGUACAUGUGCACACACACAUAUAUAUGUAAUCAAGCAAAAACUGUUAAUUAUCUAUCUUUGCUGAUUAUUUUGGGGGCGAUGAUGCUAGUCAUAAGCAUUCAUUUCUGUAGUGUUAUCCCACUCCACCUCCUCACCAUGUGUUAAAUUACUGUGAUAUUUUUAUUCUUCUCUUGUCUAGUGCUCUCCAGCCUUCUCUUUUCUCACCAUUGACUUAUGAGAACUGAGUCUUUGUUAUUUUCUCCUUUUUUAUAAUUGAAAUUGUAUGUGAGUGAGAUGAGGGAAGAAGAACAUUGGGCUGCUCUCCUUGUUUUGCGUUGGUGUUUACUAUGACUCAUAUCAACAGCUUGGUGCUCUUGAAAAAUUUUAUGGUGGGAGAACCAACAGCCUGAAUACAGCAAAAGUAACAGCAGAAGGAUUAGAGACCCACUGUGAUAGACCUCACAUGGUAAGAAGGCAGAAGCUGCUCUGAAGACUUCAGAGGUGAGGAACAGGGAACAGAGAGAAGAAGAGACAUAAUAAUUUGUCCAG